GAUUAAAGGGAAAAAAAAGUACUAAAAUUUGUGUUCUCUUUUUUGAAUUUAUUUCAAGAUUUUUCCUAUAAGUAAUGUUGUAUUGACCAUAUACAUAAAAUUAAUCUUUAUUUGCUUGUAUGUUUAUUUCUUUAGGAAAAAGAACAUCUUCAAUUUUAGCAAAUGUAGAAGGAAUGAUAAGUAAAUUUACUUAAAAAAUUUGAACACAGUUGUGCCUCACUUUACAAAGUUGAUAAGUUCAUAAGAUAUUUGCAAAUGGAAGUUUAAGAAAUGUUUUUGACAAACUUUUGAGUAUCAUGUGAUGAGUAUCAUUUAAAGAUUUGGAAGGGAAGGUAAAACAAGUGCACAAAUAUAAGUGCAUAUAAAUAUAAAAUGUGCUAAGUCUUAUACAUAAACAGUGCUGUGUAGAGAUGAAUAUUAUAACUUUUGGGAUGGAAUGGAUUAUAGCUGAGUAUAGGAAAGACAGCAUACAAUCUGGAAGGAUAUGUAGUAUUCAAGGAGGAAAGAAAGGAGAGGGCUUUUUAGGUAAAGCAGCUUAAAUGGCACUAGCCAAAAUUGAGGCCUGUUAAGGGAGUAGUAGUCCAGUUACCUGAAAUGUCUGAGAAUAGUGAGCAAGAAGGUUAGAAAGCUAAAAUUGAGGUCACAUUAUAGAAUUAAUCAAAUUAGGGAGUGAGAAUUUAGUUUGUAAUAGGAAUUAUCAUGGUUUUUAUAAAGCAGGGGGGAGGAUUUGGAGGUUAAUUAGUUAGGUUAUAGUAGUAGUCCUUUAAAACAAGAAGGGAGAAGAUAGAUCGAGGAGAGAUCAGGGAGGCAGUAAAAAAUGGACGGGUUUCGGUAACCAGAUGGAAGUGAACAAUAAGGGUAAAGGGAGGAGCCAGGUAUGAUCCUAGGUUGAAUCUGUAGUUAGUAGGAAGAGGGAAUCUAGGAAGAGGAGGGUUAACUACUUUGUAUUACGGGAGGUGAGAAGAUUGGGUGAGGUGAAUUUUAUUUUGAACUUGAUAACAAUAUUUAUUGACCAGUAAGAACUUCAGUACUAUAAGUGGGGAGACAAAUCAGGGCUAAGGGCAUAAAAUGUUUUUCUAGUUUUGUUUUAUCUUCAAAGUAGGCUAAUAUUCCAACCAUAAAUUAUUCCUUGGCCCCAACCUAUCAAGUAAUUAAUAACCAUUAACAAUACCAAUUUUGUACUUUUGGGAGACUUUAAAGUACCUGGUAAUAUAACAGCUUUAUAAAUUGAAGGUAACCUAAAUGGUUGUCUGCUCUAUUUCAUCUCUUUUAUAAACUUGAAUUUUUUAUAUAGAUAAAUUUAAAACAUUUAUUUGUCAGGUAUCAUCUGUCAGCCUGCUUAUUUGAUUUUUAUGAAUAGGUUCAUUUCAUAUUCUUGCUUAACUAACACAAACCUAUAUAGUUAGUUAUGUUUGACUUUAUGACUUUCAUGGUUUACUGGAAGACACAGGAUACAAUCACAUAGAAGUUGCUUUUAAUCCCAUUAACAGCUGAAAUACUUUACUGUAAAUUGUAUAUAUACUGGUAUGUACACAAGAACUCCUGGGGAAUGUGUCAUCUGAGAUACACAUUCUGCCGUUGCUUCUUGAUAAGGAAAUGGGAGUGGGAAAAUGGCAGGGUCAGGCUAGAAGAGGGACUAAGGAGCAGAAUUAGAAGCAUCUGAAAACAAUUAGAGGAAAGUUGAACUGUUUUACCUGUUAUUUGAAGAAGUUUGUGGUUUUUUCCUUUUUUUUAGUGUGAUGUGAUGAAAAUAAAGUAGAGCUUAAUUGCUUUUCACAGUUGAUCUCCCGUAUUUAUCAGUUAGCACAGGUAAUACUUUCAGAUUUCUGAUUCAGGCACUCUAAUAGGAAAUGGACCUCAGGGAACUACAUUUAUCUUCUGUGAAGUAAUUAGGGAAAAGACUGACAGAUUGGUAUUACCUCUGGCUAAAGUUGGGUCUUUUCCCAUACACAUUUGGGGAAUAGCCUCUGCAACUGGGAAUAGGGGGAAAAGGGACACUUAGAAGUUAUUAUGAAAAUGUAAAGGCAGAAGAAAGAUACACAUCUCAUAAUUUGAAAGAAAAAUUCAAAAAAGAAUCCUCACUGGAGGAUAUGCUUUUUAGAGUGAGAGGAAGGGGGAAAGAGAGAGAGAAACGUGGAUGCAUGAGAGAAACAUCAAUCUGUUGUCUUCUGUACAUGUCUGGACUGGGGACUGGACCCGCAGAACCUAAGUAUGUGCCCUGACCAGGGAUUGAACUCACAACCUUUUGGUGUAUGGGACAAACUUCAGCUAACUGAGUCACUUGGCCAGGGCAGAAAGAAAUUUAAUAAUGAGAAAUAUUACUUAGAAUAUAUUAUUUAGAUACGGGAAUGCUGAUAUUUAAAAAUAGUAACAGUACCAUUUUGUGCCAGGCACUGUGCUGAAUCCUUUAGGCCUUAUCCAAAGGUCUUAGAAUCACCCUACAAAAGUACAUAUUAUCUUAGUUUUACAGGUGAAGGAAAUACAACUUCAAGAGGUUGAAUGACUUGCCCAAAGUCAAAAUUCAAAUAUAGUGGAAACAAGAACUAAUUAGGUGUCAGUAGCAAGAGAAAGAUAAAGUGACCCAGUAAUAACCAAAGAAGUGUGCAGGACGUGUGAAGAAGACUUGGAAGCACUCUGCAGGGUCACAUAAAACUUGAACAAAUGGAAACCACAUUUGUGGAUAGGAAUAAUCAACAUACAUAAAUCUGUCAGUUUUCUCUAAAAAUUAGUCAAUUUCACGCGAUCCUAAUAAAAAUACCGAAUAGUGGUUUUUGGGGGAAUGAGACAAAUUGAUUCUCAGAUUCAUCCAGGAAAACUGAAAAAUAAAGAACAGAAAUAAUAUAUAUUUUAAUUUAAAGCCUUUAUAGUUUAAAUUGCCUCACAAAUAGAUAUAAUAAACAAAUAAAACAAUAUAUAAAGCCCAGAUAGAGACCCAGAUCACCAGAAGUCAGUGGGGAAAAAUUCAAAUGGGAGGUAUUCAGUAAAUGAUCCUGGAAUAAGAGCAUUAUCUGAGUAAUAAAAAAGUGAAGUAAUACCUCACUUCAGGAGUAUAUUUGGAUACAUUUCAAAUGAAUCAAAUAUUUAAAUGUAAUGAUUAAUGUGCUCAAAGACAACAUAGACAUAUUUGUUUAUUAUUUUGAAUUGAAGAAAACCUUUCUAAAUUGUGAAGAGGCAUAGAUAAGAAAAGCUACCUGAAAGUAAGAGUAAUUUUGUUAGAUAGAAAUCAUUGUAAAUAAGGUUAAAAGACAGAUGGGAAAGUGUUUGUGACUCAUUACAAUCAAAACAUGAAGCUCCCAGAUAUAAAAAAGUGCUCCUAAAAAAUGGUGAGAUAAAGAGAACAAUGAAGUAGCAAAAUGGACAGAAGAUGUGAACAGGCAUUUCACAGAGGAAGGAAAUAGGAAUGGCUCUGAAACAAAUGCAUACUCUUCCAACUUCAUGCUUAUUAAGAGAAAUGCAGAAAACUAUAAUGAGGUAACACUUUUUCACAUACCAGGUUAACAGAAGUCCUUAAUACAGUCUGUAUGGUGAGACUUUUAAUUAAAAAGUUUUCAUAGGUUGUUAGUAUAAAUUGAGAAGUUUUUAUGAUAAAUUCUUUCUUCAAAAUGUCCAAGAGUGUAACUCUUGCUUUGAUAGCUACAUUUGUAUAUGUACAAGGCAGCAUUACUACAACAUUGUUUGUAAUAGCAAAACAUUAGAAAUGGCCAUAUGAGUGACUAUCUGUUGGGAACUGGUAAAAUAAAUUAUGGUCUAUUCAGUCAAUGUAAAAUAAUGCUAUAUAAUUGUGAAAGGAAUGGAGUUCUUUGUGUACUACUAUGGAAAGAUCUAGUAAGUAAAAUGAAAAAUUGUGUAGAAAUAAUAUUUUGUAUUAAAAAUAUGUAUAUACACACAGACAUACAUAUAUGCACACACAUUUGUAUUUGAUUAUAGAUACAUAAAAUUACCUGUAAGGAUACAUACAACUAAUAACAGUGGUUACUCUUGGUGCAGAGGUAGGAUAAGAGAUGAGAACUCCAUUGCUAAGAAAUGGGUGGUAGACUCAGAUUUUUCACUGCAUACAUUUUUAAAAAUACAUACAUGACAAUUUAUAUAUAUAAAAUGUGUGUGGAUAUAUAAAAAUAUCCAUAUAUUUAAAGGGGUAGUGUCUGGAAAUAAGAGUAUUUGGAUAUAAAUCCUGCCUCUGUUACUUUUUAGCUGUGUUAUCCUGGGCACAUUGCUUAGUCACUCCGUGCCUGUAUUUUCUCAUGUAGAAUUAGGAUAAUCAUGCCAAACUCCUAGGGUGGUUAUAAGGAUUAAGUGAGAUAACACCUGAAGUGCAAAGAACAAUGCUUGGCAUGUGAUGAGUGCUCAGUUAAUGUUUGCUUAAAAGAAAAAAGCUAUUAAUACUAGAAUGGGAAUUUAAUUUUGGGCCUGCCUUAUACUGAAGUGGGUAAUAUGUUGUUGGUGUAUUUGCUUUCAGAUAGAUAAUACAUCUUUUCAUUUACAACUGAAAUUCAGGUAUUUAAUCCAAAAAAAUAAGUGCUGUCCUACCAUGUCCCAGACAUUGUGCUUAAGCAUGAAAGUAUUUCUUUAACUUUAAUCUUCAGUUAUUCUGCCAAAAUUGUUGGAGCUUGUAUUUAAAAAUUAUGUCAAAAAUGUAUGUUUGUCACACUUAGAGGUAAUGCUAUAUUGGAGCAAGAUAAAAAAUGAUUUGGGUUCCUUUAAAGAUAUCAUGAUACAGAAAAAAUAAAAGAAUCAAGUAUGCCCUUUUUUGUCCUGCUGAGAAGCACAUAAAUACUGAAGUUCAGAUUCAUCAUUUAUUUUCAGAAAUAUAUUAGUGAUAAAUAAUUAGAGGAUGUUUUAGUCUACUCAGGCAUAACAAAAUUACUAUAGUCUAGGUGACUUAACUAACUAACAUAUUUCUCACAGUUCUCGAGGCUGCAGGGUCCAAGAUCAAGGUGUUAGCAGAUUUGGUGUCUGGUGAGAACCCUAUUUCCUGGUUCCUAGAAGACAGUCUUUCUCAUUGUGUGUUCACAUGGCAGAAAGGCUGAGGGUGUUGUCUGGGAAAAGGUACCCAUCUCAUUCAUAGGGGUUCCACUCUCAUGAUCUAAUCACCCUCAAAGCCCACCUCCUAAUACUGUCACAUUUUGGGGUUAUGAAUUUUGAAUUAUGGGAGGGCACAGACAUUUAGUCUGUAUCAGGUAUAUUUUGUAUACUGUAUGUUGAGGAACAAAGGUGCUUGAAUCAGUUCUAGUUACUCAUACUUUAAAAUCCUGCCCCUCACAAAAAGAUGUGUUUGAUAACAUGUCUCAUUUUACUGUUGUAGCUAUUUUGACAACAGUGCCCGAAUUUAUUUGCUUAGCAUAUAAACAUUGUUAAUAAACAGAGCAUGUACUUUGUAGAUGGUGCUUGACUGGGGGAGAAAUUUAUACAUCAAGAAAGACAGAUAGCCUUGGCCAGUGUGGCUCAGUUGGUUGGAGUGUUGUCCCAUGCUCUGAAAGGUUGCAGGUUCGAUUUCUGGUCAGGGUGCAUACCUGCAUUGAGGGUUGGAUCCCCAGGAGAGGCGCAUGUUGGAGGCAACCAAUUGAUGUUUCUAUCUCACGUUGAUGUUUCUUUUUCUCCCUCCUUCUGUCUAUAAAACAAUGAAAAAAAAAGUCCUCUGGUAAGGAUUAAAAAAAAGAAUGACGUAUUUCUCAGAGUAUAAAACUGAUAAAAUAUAGAGAACAAAAAGAACAUUUUACAUGGGAACCAUUACACUGUAAGUUAUCUAUCUUAAUCUCUCUAAAGUAAACUGCAGAAAGCAACUCCUUGUCCUUGUUUAUUAAUGCUUUUUGAAUUCACUUACGUUCAGACCUUAGAUUCAUCUUAGAGUCCACUUUCUAGCCCAUAGCACCAGCAUUGCCUCAGUUGCCAAAACUUACUGGUUCUGUUCUUAGUAACUCUCGAGUUUCAUUUCCUUUGCAAAUGGCUAAAUAUGUGACCAUCAGCUAGUUACUUGAAACUCUUGGGCCAGUUUCCCAGAAUCAUAUCUUAAUCUAAAAUUACUUGUUUUUAUUCUAGUAGACCAUGACUGAUCUAUGUAAAAACUGCGGCAAUAACUUUCUAACUGAUCUUCCUGUUCCAGUCCAUCCUCCUAAUUCAGGAUUAAUUUUUCUAAGUCAUAUUUCCUUUUCUGUCUUUUGAAUUUGUCCAGCUGAAGUACCAUCUUCUCAGACCUCUGUGGUCACUGUUGUGAGAACUCAAGUCACAUGUUCUGUGUAGUACCAAGUACGGUUACUUGGCAUUCAGUAAAUAAGCUGAUUUACCGUGUUAUUUUAUAUAAUUAUUUGGAUACAAAUCUUCUUUACAGUGUUAGCUCUUGGUGGGUAGAAACCUUGUAUUUCUUCAGCACUGUAGUGACAUCAUUAUGGUACACACAGAGGGAGCACAGAGGCUUUUGUUGGAUGUGCAUGUGGUCACUGUGUUUUACUGGCUAUACCAUAGGAAGGGAAGGAUUAAAACUCUUGUUUCAGUGAGCUUGAUGGCCAUCAGCUACAUUGUAACCAAAAAGUUAAAAUUUGAAACUGUUCUAAGAAAGUACAUGCUGGAUAUGAUAUAGUAAAGUUGAUGUGGUCAUAAGAAAAAACAAGAAUGAAGCUUGGAAGAAGCUUCCCAGAGAUCCCAGGGAGAAGGGUCACCGCCUCCCAUACAGGGCCACAGGGGAGGAGACUAGGGUAGUCAGGAGGCAAAAGACAGGAGUGCAGGAGAGAUCUUAGCUGAUGGCAUUUGUUGUAGUUUCCUAGGGAAAGGUAAGACUGCGUAGAAUAAGACUGGUUAGGAUUGUCUAGUUUGAUUAAUUCCUGCAGAUUUUGAGUUCCAGGGUUGGUUUGUAGUUUCUUAGUACUUAACCCUGGGAUGAUUUAGUUUAGGAAAUACUGGCUUGGUAUGUGAGAGGUAGAUAAGGAGGACAUAGCUGUUGGUAUAAACUCUGGAUUGGUGGUUUGCAUAUGAAAAGUGUGCUAGUAGGCAAGUUGUUAUCUUUAGGAAUUUAGGUAAUUUAGGAAUUCCAGAUGGCCCCUGGAAGUGGCCAUCUCUUCUGUGCUCUGUAAGUGCUUCCCUCUCAUGCUCCGAAAGUUCAGAACAUUAAGAAUACAGAAAAUACUAUUAUAAUUGGCCCUGUGAUGAAUGAAUGUCAAAUAUGAAUAAAGAAUCUUAAAAAAAAACACUCAGAACAAAAACUCUGCUGUUAAAUUGAGGGUUCAUUCUUGCUGGUAUUCACUAAUUUCAAGAGGUUAAUGUCAUCUUUCAAAAGUUGGAAUCAUAAAAUACAUUAAUUACACAUUCAGCUGUUUACAUAAAGAACAAAAAAGAAGGAAAACCACUUGUAGAUAGCCAGAGUUGACAAUUUAGUAUUUAUUUUUUCAGUCUUUUUUCUGCAUAUAUAUUGGGGCUGUGUGACAUUUUGAAAACAAGAAUGGAGUUACAUAGUACCUCUUUAAUUUAUAAUAAAAUGCUGCCUGUGAAUGUUAAAUUUUUAGAGAUGGAUAGAAUGUUAAAUUUUUGUAUUGCUCUUGUGUGGAGUUUUCCAGAGAGGAAGAAAGAGGAAACAUUUAUAGCAACCAGUAAGGCAUGGUAGGACAGGAUUUUGAAACUUAAGCUCUGGCAGUAUUACUAAGGAGUUGGAAUGGUGCCUCUCUAAAUUAGUUAUUUAAUAAAGUAUAUUUCUUCAUUUCAGAAUUGUUAUCAACAUGACUGUGUUUGUUGGUGUUCAUUACAAAUUGUUUUUUAGACCCUAUAACUUGAAUAUAAAACAUCAACAGAAAUUUUUGUUUUCUAUGUAAAAUAUUAAAAGUCAUUCAAACUUGGUUAGAAUUCAUUGUUUUAAAAUUAAUAAUAUGUGUAGGACUUCAUUAAACUCAUAGACUGCAUUAAGAGUUAAAAUUGAUUGUGGACUUAGAUCACACCUGGUAAUUGUACUGUUAUAUCAGAUAGUUACUGAUUUAUGAAUAAAUUGUGUUUUGAAAAACUUUAAUCUUUUUCUUUGCUUAUGAAAAUAUGCCUAGAUACCGUAAAUAAACUUACAAAUUUUCUUUAAAACACAUCAUACCUAAGUAUAAUAUUUUAUUAAUAAUUGUAUUUAACUGACCUAUAUAACAUUUUUUAAUAGAAAAGUUAAUUUGAGUUUUAAAUUUGGAUGUCAGAAAUUUAUCUGCACCUUUCACCCAUCCUGGCUUGCUUAGUUCUCUUGAUUUAUCAGUUCCAGAAAAUUGAGGAUAGAUGUUUGUGGGCAGCAUUUAACUUAACUACACAUCACAUUUUAAAGACAUACAGUACCUGACUAUAGCCUCUGUUUCCUAGGUAAGGAACUCUAUAUCACUCCAAGUUAAUUAUUUCCCUAGUGUUUUGAUUUUGGGGAACAGAACAUUUGUUCCUGUGAGGUUCAGGGUCAUUUUAUAAGAUGGGGGCUUUCUAUACCUUACAAAUUUAUUUUCUUC
Phyllostomus discolor (pale spear-nosed bat) is the source of this 8450-nucleotide long non-coding RNA. RefSeq lists it as uncharacterized. The transcript has 2 exons. NCBI's taxonomy places the organism in Eukaryota, Metazoa, Chordata, Mammalia, Chiroptera, Phyllostomidae. The record is from RefSeq and is a predicted model, not a curated record.